This 112-nucleotide ribosomal RNA is filed under the name Caerostris darwini. The record is from RNAcentral. Lineage: Eukaryota; Metazoa; Arthropoda; Arachnida; Araneae; Araneidae.
AACGGCCAUACCAUGUUGAAUAAACCGGUUCUCGUUAGAUCACCGAAGUCAAGCAUCAUUGGGCGCGGUCAGUACUUGGGUGGGUGACCACCUGGGAACAUCGCGUGCCGUU